CUGCCCUAAGUGCCCGGAUCACGCCCACCGCGCAGGCGCCGUCCCGGGCUCUCGCUCUCUCCCCCCUCCCCCGCCUCUUCCUCCUGGCCCCUCCCACUCGCGAGCGGGCCCCGCUCAGGCCGGCCGAGGGGCAGGGGCAGGCUUGUUUACGGCCCGACUGCGCAGGCGUGCUCACCUGGCGCGCUCCGCCCGGCUGGGCGUCCGCAGGCCCCUCCCCCGGGUGCGGUCUCAAAGCGGCCACGUGGCAGUGCAGGUGAGGCGGCCUCCGGCCGGGGGUCGACCUAGCUCUGCCACCGCUUCCGCCUCCGCCUCCGUCUCCGCCUACCCGCCCCCCCCCGGGGGCAGAACCCGUAAGCCGAAGCCGCGGCAGGUCUGCGGUCUGCAUCACAGAGGUGAUCUUGAGGGGCCUCCUCACCCCUGAGGGGCCCCGGGACCCUGAGGAGCGGAGGGAGAGAGCCUUCCCCCCAUGCGGGGUGUGCACGUGGGGUGCCGAGUGCCGGAGCUCGGGCGUUCUGCCUUCGGGAGGAUGCGGGGGCGCCCCGAGGCUGGGGGGGGGCUCCUCACCCUGAGGGGCCCCGGGACCCCGAGGAGCGGAGGGAGAGAGCCGUCCCCCCAUGCGGGGUGUGCACGUGGGGUGCCGAGUGCCGGAGCUCGGGCGUUCUGCCUUCGGGAGGAUGCGGGGGCGCCCCGAGGCUGGGGGGGGGCUCCUCACCCUGAGGGGCCCCGGGACCCCGAGGAGCGGAGGGAGAGAGCCGUCCCCCCAUGCGGGGUGUGCACGUGGGGUGCCGAGUGCCGGAGCUCGGGCGUUCUGCCUUCGGGAGGAUGCGGGGGCGCCCCGAGGCUGGGGGGGGGCUCCUCACCCUGAGGGGCCCCGGGACCCCGAGGAGCGGAGGGAGAGAGCCGUCCCCCCAUGCGGGGUGUGCACGUGGGGUGCCGAGUGCCGGAGCUCGGGCGUUCUGCCUUCGGGAGGAUGCGGGGGCGCCCCGAGGCUGGGGGGGGGCUCCUCACCCUGAGGGGCCCCGGGACCCCGAGGAGCGGAGGGAGAGAGCCGUCCCCAUGCGGGGUGUGCACGUGGGGUGCCGAGUGCCGGAGCUCGGGCGUUCUGCCUUCGGGAGGAUGCGGGGGCGCCCCGAGGCUGGGGGGGGCUCCUCCCCCAGGCCUGCGUUCGGCCACCCGCACCACCGUCCGGGAGCCCCUCUGCGCCUCCCGGAGCCAGUUUCCGAGAAGGUACUGAGGGACCUCAGUUUCCCGCUUCGGCGUGUUUCUUUAGGCGGGGCCGGGGGCGAGCACUCUGUGCGUGUGUGCACACAGCGUCCGUCUUUGGAGGUCGGCUGUCUGGAUGCCUGUCGGUGGAGAGCAUUGGCUAAUGUGGACCAAAAUGAGAGCCCUUCAGGUCGGGCCCACCUGUCCCAUCAGCCUCUCUGGACUCAGCCUCCCGGGUUUGUCCACAACAGCCUCUGUCAGUGCUGCUCAAGGCGCCGGUCCACACGGAGAUGAGGAAACAGGCUUCAAGAGGAAGACCCUUGCCCCAAAAUCAGCAGAGGCAGAACAGAAGAGGGACAAAGAAGCAGACACGUCCUCUCCCUGGGGUUCUUAAAGGAGUGGGCUUUUCCAGGUAAGUGAAAGGGAAGGGCAUGGGCCAAGGUGUGAAGGAGCAGGAUGCUGGGGGGCAAGAGGGGACACUUUAUUGUGGGGUUUGGAGGUGAGGGGAGAAGCAGCAGGACCAGUUUUUGGAGAGCCUGGUGAGCCCAGCUCAGGACCCAAAAAUGACAGCAACCCCUUUCGUGGCAAGGUGGCCAGACCAAGGUGCUCAUUGCCUGGUCAACUGGCCACAUGGGCAGAAUCCUAACUGACCAGCAGAUGCCCCCUGCCUCAGUACAGACAAAAAGGAACUGUCAGCCGGGGACAUCACACCCGCUCAUUCCCCUACCUCAAUUUCAGUUUUGGACCCAACCCCACCCUACCCAGGGAUAUCAGAAUCAAUAGUCCCUCUGGGUCAGUUGGGCCUGUUCUUCCACUGGCUGAACAAGACGCUGCAUCCAGGUGGGGGUCAGACUAAAGGGCUUUGUCCUUGUGACAGCCCCCGUGACAGCCGGGAUGAAGAAGGGAGCAGGGAGGGUGGGCCUGCUCCACCACCCUGAUGGCCCAAGAGAGAUCCAGGGGAGGUCGAAAAGAGGAGCGGGGAAGGCUGGGCAUGCUAACUCUCCCUGUUAGCACUCAGAUGAUUCCAAUUUUGGCUUUUUUAACCUUCCUGCCUUUCUUCCUAUAUGAGGUUUUAGCAGUGAAAUACAUUUUUUUUAAAUUUCCAAAAAUUGCCUCCCGUUUUCUUCUAGACCGUGUUUCCUCCCUGCUCACCAAAAGGCUGGAAGCUUUGCCGUGGACUUUUCAGGGCGAGACGUUAAUGAUGGUGAUCUAGACUGGAUCUCACAUAAUUCUCUCCUAAUUCUCCCGUUCACAAGAAAUAAACAAACAUGAAAUCCCUGAACAUCAAAGCCGUUUCCUGUUAGAGACCCCAAACAACCCAUCAACUGGCCAGUAGAUGGCGCCAAAGGUUAGUCACUGCCUAUGGGCCCAGGGGCUCUAACCCGGUGCCUUCGCACACGUGCUCAUGGCCUUUCCAUACCUAGAUGGCCACCUGCUCUGUCUUGAGCCGGGUGGGGGACGGGGUGGUGGGCGUGGGGGGAGGAGGUGGAAAAGACAAAGCCUAAUUUUAAUUCAGCCCCAUGGGAAGGGGGAGGAGGCCUGUAGAGUGAAUUUGGCCUGAGGGGAUUUCUCCGCCAAACUUGGCAAGACACUUGUCGCCUGGAGAAGGGUCUUGCGGGAGGAACUGCUCUGAGGUUCCAGGCACGUUUGGGGAACAACUGAGUGUGGACAGAGAAGGGUCUGGGAAGGAAGACCAGGGCCAGACCAUAAAGUCCUCGUGUUGCUGCAGUCAUCUUCGUUCAGUGAAGGAAUGAAAACAGGCCAUGAAGAUGUUUCAUCUGAGGGUGAUCACUUCAUGGGAGGGCAUCGUUCCCGCUGCCUGUGGAGGCCGAAGGAAUGGAGGAGGGAGGCUGGAACAGAACCAGAACACAAUGCAGCAGCAUAUUCUUGCCCCCCUCCCCCUCCCCCUGCUGUCACCCUGUCCUGUUCUCCCUCCCUCUGCCUCUGCUUCUCUGCUACGCUCUUCUUCAACUCCAGGCCACCUAGUCAGGGCUGACAGUGAUGUCUCCCCCUUGAGACAGUCCAGGGUGCGGGGGGUUUGGGGGGGAGGUGACUGCAGCUGGCGUUCCAGGCCCUAGAGCACCGAGACCACCGAGGGCAGGUGCGGAGAUGGGGAGUCUGUGGGUCUCAGGCAACAGACAAGGGGUCCGGAGGUGGCACGAGCUGGGCAUCUGGGCCCCAGGCCUUGAAUGCCUGCACAGGUACUGCUGGCUUGGUGCCCCGGGGGCCCUGGGCAUUCCUGCCCUGGGAGGUGGGCAGGUGAGAACAGGAAUGAAUAUAGAACAGGUAAAUCCAGCAAGAACCGGCUGAAGGUGGCCAGGGCACGGGGGCUGAAGGGCUGGGGCAGGGUGGGACUCCGAGCAUGGAGAGAAAGGGCAUUUAAAAGGAAAAAUCCACCAGACUUGGCAGCAUUCAGAAUGUGGGGGCUGAGGGAUGAGUCAAAGAUGACUCACAAGGUUUGAAGGUGAAUCAAGGGAAAGUGACGGUGCUUCCAGGAAGAAGUUCGAGCCCACGCCCAGGGCUGCUGUUCUUUGGGGCUUGAAGAACUGGUCUGGACUGUCCCACAUGUCAUUUGCGUGUUUAUAGUCUGUCUCUCCUCCGCUAGAAUGUAAGCCCCUGAAGAUGCUGCCUGAGACUGUCCUGCCUUGCCUGGGGGGCUCAGAGCAGGCCAGGGGAGGCAGCCUGGGGCUUCUGCAGGAGGGAGAGUGAGACCCCGGGUGGGACAGGGAGGGGGUCACACUGCACCCCUGCCUAGGCACAGCCUCCUCCUGUCCCUCCAGGUUCCCAGCUCUUCGCUAGACUGGGACUGCAUCCUGGGGCAGCCCUGUGUCUGCCAAGCAGAUCCAGCUCCCUUCCUUCCCAUCCACCCCUCCCACCAUGUCCUUGCUCACGCCCCAGGGUCCUGUUGCUGGGUGCCCAUCCACUUGGAUGCACCCCAGACAGUUCAGCCCAACAUGGUGACACUGAACAGGUCACCUGCUGCUCUGGCCUGGGCCCCACGUUCCCCAGGGUGACUGCAGUGUUCCCCAUGCAGGCUCCUCCAGCUCUCCUGGACUGUUAGCUCGCCCUCCUUGGUUUCCCACAAGCCUGCCCCUUCUCCACCCAGCAGUUCUGCAGGUGCGGGCCUACUCAGCUCUCCCCAGGCCUGACCUCCAUGCGCACAAGGGUCAGAGUGGAGCACUGUCAGAACGGUGGGGCCCGGUGACAGUCUCCCAUGCCUCCUGUGCUCCUCGGGCCAUGUUCCGAGUCCCCUGGCACAGUGCAGUGUGGCAUCUGGCGCCUACCUCUUGCUUCGGCCCCAGUGGCCACCCUGCCCAUGCAGGCUGUGCACCCAUCUCACAGAAAAGGCUUUUCUGGCCUCCAUUUUCUUUCCUGCCUCACCUUCUCCCUGUUCCUUACGACUCCUCAUAUUCCUUCUAGAUUUCACUUUUGCAGAUGCCCUUCCCUGCCUCCACCCACCAGCAGCUAACACUGCUCUCCUCCUGUCUCAGGACCCUCCCAGUACUCCUCAGGUUACAAAUCCGUGCACUUGCAUGGCAUUGGCUUCAUGUUUCCACCAUGCAUGCAGUGACCUAAUUUUGCACCCACUGCAUCCCAGGGCCUGAACACGGGCUUUUCGUCAACAGAGAUAAAAUGGAUGGUGCUCAGCAAACAACAGGACACCAUUUCCCCUGUCAAAAUGGCCACAUUCUGCUGACAGCAAUGGGAGAGGAGGGCAAGGGAGUGUUUGUGGUGCCUCUUUCUGGUGACAGCAUGUGCAAGUUAACAGGGAAGUUACUAACCCCAUCUGGGCCUUCCAGGAAUGGCUGCCCAGCUGGGCCUCAAAGGAUGGGUCAAAACUGGCCAGGAGAAGAACAGUUUGGGUACCACAGUGUCCCCAGUUUUAUAGUUGGUCAGUGGAAAAUGGUUUGCUGUGUGGAAAUCCCCUUCAGGGCCAACUGUAAGUGGCCAGGUCACUCCACCAUGAGCUGGCCACAUCACUGCACCUCCCCUCGCUCCCAGAGCCUGUCCCUUCACUUCCUUUGGGACCCUGCUCUCAGCCCUCCCCUUCCUGCUGAAGUAGUGAGCCCAAACCCAUGAGACAGGUGCAAGUGCAGGACAGCGUCGUGGUGACCUGGCGACCGCCAGCGCAGGCCACCCUGUCUCCCUGCCCUCCAUUAAGAGAACAGCACAUCCUUAUACGCAACUAAUGAAUCAUCGAACUUUACAUCAAAAACCAGGGAUGUGCUGUAUGGUGACUAACAUAAUAAAAUUAAAAAAAAAAGAGAGAGAGAGAGAGAACAGCACAUCCAUCGCAUGCCAGGUGCUUCGGGCUUCCCUGGGGUCAGCUCAUGGCAUCCACCCCAUCCUUACCGUGAUCAUCACUACUGUAGAGAUGAGAAGACCAAAGCACAGAGAGGUUGAGCAGCUCGCUCAAAGUGACACAGCCACUAGGUGGCAGGGACAGGGCUCACAGUCCAGCUGCAGACCCGUGCUUUAACCAACACCAUCCUCUUCCAGGUCAACUGUGUCUCUUUCCAAAAUAGAAGCCACUGAGUUUUCCUUAUCAUUAUAACUCAAUUCUUUUUUUUUUUAAAGAUUUUAUUUAUUUAUUCUACAGAGAUAGAGACAGCCAGCGAGAGAGGGAACACAAGCAGGGGGAGUGGGAGAGGAAGAAGCAGGCUCCCAGCAGAGGAGCCUGAUGUGGGGCUCGAUCCCAUAACACCGGGAUCACGCCCUGAGCCGAAGGCAGACGCUUAACCGCUGUGCCACCCAGGCGCCCCUAUAACUCAAUUCUGAACAUUUCCUCUAGCUCUUUGCUAAACAUCAAUUCAUUUUUUUUUUAAGAUUUUACAAAUUUGACAGGGAACACAAGCAGGGGGAGCAGCCCAGGGCGAAGCAGACUCCCCACUGAGCAAGGAGCCCGAUGUGGGACUCAAUCCCAGUACCAGGAUCAUGACCUGAGCCAAAGGCAGACGCUUAACCAAACGAGCCACCUGGGUACCGCUAAACAUCAAUUGUUAAAAAACAGCUUUAUGAGGGGCGCCUGGGUGGCGCAGUCGUUAAGCGUCUGCCUUCGGCUCAGGGCGUGAUCCCGGCGUUCUGGGAUCGA
Molecule: long non-coding RNA, 6295 nt
Filed under: Ailuropoda melanoleuca (giant panda)
Lineage: Eukaryota; Metazoa; Chordata; Mammalia; Carnivora; Ursidae
Description: lncRNA (ENSAMEG00000026179.1)
Source: RNAcentral